AUUGAACGCUGGCGGCAGGCCUAACACAUGCAAGUCGAGCGGUUGAGGUAGCUUGCUACCGAUGCAGCGGCGAACGGGUGAGUAAUACAUGGGAAUCUGCCUGGUAGUGGGGGACAACGUUUCGAAAGGAACGCUAAUACCGCAUACGCCCUACGGGGGAAAGGGGGGGAUCGCAAGACCUCUCGCUAUCAGAUGAGCCCAUGUCAGAUCCGCUAGUUGGUGAGGUAAAGGCUCACCAAGGCGACGAUCUGUAACUGGUCUGAGAGGAUGAUCAGUCACACUGGAACUGAGACACGGUCCAGACUCCUACGGGAGGCAGCAGUGGGGAAUAUUGGACAAUGGGGGCAACCCUGAUCCAGCCAUGCCGCGUGUGUGAAGAAGGCCUUAGGGUUGUAAAGCACUUUCAGUGGGGAGAAAGGUGAUUCACCUAAUACGUGAGUCAAUUGAUGCUACCCACAGAAGAAGCACCGGCUAACUCCGUGCCAGCAGCCGCCGUAA
This 498-nucleotide ribosomal RNA is filed under the name uncultured bacterium. RNAcentral's name for it is "partial 16S ribosomal RNA". It matches the Rfam family "Bacterial small subunit ribosomal RNA", at positions 30 to 523 of the family's 1533-position model. The record is from RNAcentral.